Molecule: ribosomal RNA, 480 nt
Filed under: Microbacterium sp.
Lineage: Bacteria; Bacillati; Actinomycetota; Actinomycetes; Micrococcales; Microbacteriaceae
Description: bacterial SSU rRNA
Rfam family: Bacterial small subunit ribosomal RNA
Source: RNAcentral
ACGGGUAGCCGGCCUGAGAGGGUGACCGGCCACACUGGGACUGAGACACGGCCCAGACUCCUACGGGAGGCAGCAGUGGGGAAUAUUGCACAAUGGGCGAAAGCCUGAUGCAGCAACGCCGCGUGAGGGAUGACGGCCUUCGGGUUGUAAACCUCUUUUAGCAGGGAAGAAGCGAAAGUGACGGUACCUGCAGAAAAAGCGCCGGCUAACUACGUGCCAGCAGCCGCGGUAAUACGUAGGGCGCAAGCGUUAUCCGGAAUUAUUGGGCGUAAAGAGCUCGUAGGCGGUUUGUCGCGUCUGCUGUGAAAUCCCGAGGCUCAACCUCGGGCCUGCAGUGGGUACGGGCAGACUAGAGUGCGGUAGGGGAGAUUGGAAUUCCUGGUGUAGCGGUGGAAUGCGCAGAUAUCAGGAGGAACACCGAUGGCGAAGGCAGAUCUCUGGGCCGUAACUGACGCUGAGGAGCGAAAGGGUGGGGAGCAA